RNAcentral lists this ribosomal RNA (407 nucleotides) under uncultured bacterium. RNAcentral describes it as "partial 16S ribosomal RNA". It matches the Rfam family "Bacterial small subunit ribosomal RNA", at positions 30 to 526 of the family's 1533-position model. The record is from RNAcentral.
AUUGAACGCUAGCGGGAUGCCUUACACAUGCAAGUCGAACGGAGUGGCGAACGGGUGAGUAAUGUAUCGGAACGUGCCCAGUAGCGGGGGAUAACUACGCGAAAGCGUAGCUAAUACCGCAUACUAUUGGAGCGGCCGAUAUAGGAUUAUCUAGUUGGUGGGGUAACGGCUCACCAAGGCGACGAUCCGUAGCUGGUUCGAGAGGACGACCAGCCCCACUGGGACUGAGACACGGCCCAGACUCCUACGGGAGGCAGCAGUGGGGAAUUUUGGACAAUGGGGGAAACCCUGAUCCAGCCAUCCCGCGUGUAUGAAGAAGGCCUUCGGGUUGUAAAGUACUUUCAGCGAGGAGGCGUUACCCGCAGAAGAAGCACCGGCUAACUCCGUGCCAGCCGCCGCGGUAAUUC